This 450-nucleotide ribosomal RNA is filed under the name uncultured bacterium. RNAcentral describes it as "partial 16S ribosomal RNA". It matches the Rfam family "Bacterial small subunit ribosomal RNA", at positions 354 to 796 of the family's 1533-position model. The record is from RNAcentral.
GUGGGGAAUCUUCCGCAAUGGACGAAAGUCUGACGGAGCAACGCCGCGUGAGUGAUGAAGGUCUUCGGAUUGUAAAGCUCUGUUAAUCGGGACGAAAGAGCCUAGUGUGAAUAAUGCUAGGAAGUGACGGUACCGGAAUAGAAAGCCACGGCUAACUACGUGCCAGCAGCCGCGGUAAUACGUAGGUGGCAAGCGUUGUCCGGAAUUAUUGGGCGUAAAGCGCGCGCAGGCGGAUCUGCCAGUCUGUCUUAAAAGUUCGGGGCUUAACCCCGUGAUGGGAAGGAAACUACAGAUCUAGAGUAUCGGAGAGGAAAGUGGAAUUCCAAGUGUAGCGGUGAAAUGCGUAGAGAUUUGGAAGAACACCAGUGGCGAAGGCGACUUUCUGGACGAUGUCUGACGCUGAGGCGCGAAAGCUAGGGGAGCGAACGGGAUUAGAUACCCUUGUAGUCC